UUAUAGCUGUUGCCAGUGCGUGUUUAUUGUGACAGAAGAUGAAAAACACAGCUGACUCAUUCAAUAGAAAACUAAGCUCAACAAGACAGAACUGCACAUGAAAAAAUGAUAUACUAAUGACAGUUUAUAAUAUGCUGACAAAUUAAAGAUAAAAAAAACAACAUACCGGGUUGCUAGUGUAGUUUCACUGUGCUUUGCCAUUCUACAUUCUAUGCUAUAUUAAGUCUUUGGGGAACAUGGAUUACCCUUUUUUUUCAACAGAUAUUUCCAACUUGGGCAUAGCGAGCUCAGUCUAACCUUAUGGACCAAAAUUGUUGAAUGACCUCUCUGCCCAUGGUAGGACGGCUUCCUCACUGCCUGUUUUGAAAUAUGUCUUAAAAUUAGAUCAAAGUGUUCUUACCUUCUAUUUAUUUAUUUUAGUGUUUUAUUGAUUAGCUUUGUGUUGUUUUCUAAAUGGCUUGGGAAAAAAGCAGCUGAACUUAUUUAAGCUAUGUGACACCCUUUUACCUCUCAUCAGCACUUUGUCAAACUGUGUCAACUUUGUCAAGCUUUAAUGACACUUUGUUUCUUGUGGAUGCGGUAUUGUCAUCAUAAAAGACACCACUCCAAUGAUGAUAGAAAUGUUUUAUCGCAGGUUACAGAAACCCAGACUUUACCAUUAAAAUGUUCCCCACAUUCGGACACUCUCAUUACACAGGUUAACAUUUUUCCUUUAAUUUGUCACCCGUCCGCGUAUACUUCAUCCAGUAAGCACACAAAGACAGUCCCUGUAUUAAAAGCUGACAGCAUUCUGUAAAGUUUAUGAGGCAGUAGCACCAGUGAGGAGAGUUACUUUGUGCUCCCUGUGUCUUUAAAUCCCUUUGCCUUUCACAUAGGCCAGCCACUCACAAUAACCCACUCAAAUCAAAUCAAAAAUCCCCAAGGAGUAUGCUCUGGGAUGGGGGAGUGCCCCAUCUCUUUUUUUCGGGGAUGGCUACCGGCUGAGUGUAAUAAAGGCCUUUGUUAUGCUGCCCUGCUGCAAAUCUGUGUUGUUAAAGCUCGCAUGGCAAAGAGCAAGUGGCCAAAAUUGAAUGUCACAGAAAUGUUUAAUCGGUCACACUGAUUAAUUACUGACUACGGCAGCAUUCAAGCCAAAGAACAAGACUGAAAUGUAAAAAUGAUCACAUGAGGCUAUUCACUUUGUUUUCGUCAAAGUGAUCCGAGAUAUGUUUUAAGCCUGACUCUGUCUUACCUGGAGCAGGACAAUAAAGAUAAGGAUGGAAAUGUCUUGAGUUUUGGUUUUAUAGAGCUUGUGUGCAGGUAGACACACAGGUUUAACAGGUGCACAGCUGCUUGGAUACUGCAUACAAUGUCCUAACAACAGUACAUUUAAAGUGACAGCAGAGUGAGUGCAGAUUGUUUUAGUCUUAAAGUGCACCGUUGGGAAGUAAGCCUUUUAAGUUAGUAACAGUUAAUGAGUUGCUGUCUUGCCGUAUUUUUUUAAGAAAGAAAGAAUCUAUCAGCCCACUUACGUCUUUUACUCCAGUUUCUGAUUUUGAAGUUAAGUUGUCCUUCUUCACAAAAUCGGGCCACUUUCACUGGUAGUAAUACAGCAGUCCUUCAGGCUCUGGACUUCCAUAGCAUUAGGCACUAGUGUAAAUCUGUUAUAGUCCCAGUGGUCUGGUUUAAGGCAGGGAAGACUCCAACAACUUCACUGUGUGGGUAAGAACCCACCACUAGAUCAAGCAUGGUGCCUUUUCAAAUGACUACUACUGGUGUGGGACUAGUAAACUGUGGAAAGCCUGGAAUGGAUUUCGGAGUGGACCGUGUUUCAUAAUUUACUCAGAUUUUGAUUUACAUAAGUUAAAACUAAAAAGACACAAUGGGCUUUUUAUAUACUUCAACCUUUAAAGGCAUAAGCCUCCGUAAGCUGGCGUCUUUACUAAUGCUUUCUCUGUUUCUAUUUUUCUUUAUCUGCACAAAAUGUUAACUGUAGUAUACUGGACACUGUAACAGUCAUCAACGUUUCUGGUAAUGUAUAAGAAACAGGCUCCUCUAAAUCAAGGCUCCCUGGUUACCUGGAAACUAAUUUUGAACUAUUUACUAUAUGUCAGUACUGCUCAGCUAUCUCCAAAAAUAUAAAAUUGCCAUUAUUUAAUUGAGAUACAAGAAGAAGUUACACCAACAGCUACCUAAAACAUUUGAACUUCCUGAUUAAACAGCACACUCUCUCUGUGAUCACUUGCUUUAGAAACGUUGCCCUCCUCCUGCUGUCUGUCACAGCCGUGGUUUCCCUCCCACUCCUCCCUCAGUGACAGUUUGUGUAGCAGCAACAGCCAUCAGCCUGAAAUGCACCUUACAAUUUAAACCAGCCCACCAAUCACCAGCCUCUUAGGCAGUAACAGUGGCUAGUAACAUUUGCACAACAAAAGAGAAAUCUGAUUCAUC
Molecule: long non-coding RNA, 2427 nt
Organism: Astatotilapia calliptera (eastern happy)
Lineage: Eukaryota; Metazoa; Chordata; Actinopteri; Cichliformes; Cichlidae
Source: Ensembl